Molecule: long non-coding RNA, 338 nt
Filed under: Mus spicilegus (steppe mouse)
Lineage: Eukaryota; Metazoa; Chordata; Mammalia; Rodentia; Muridae
Description: lncRNA (ENSMSIG00000010260.1)
Source: RNAcentral
AGAAGAGUAGCUAAGGAGUCACAAGAAAACAUGAGUUUCCCCAUCCUUUUACACACUGUGAAAUCUGUGGCUAUUCACUGUGUGGUGGCAACUUCCAUUUAAACCGCCCUCACUCACCUGUGUUACAGGUUUUCCUGUGCAUCUGAGAGCUAGAUUUCUAAACAGAGUUUACAGUAUAGCUAAAGGAAAUAACCUCGAAUUAUGCUAAAGUCCCAUCUGUGAAUGAACCGUCCUGGGAAUGCACUGAGCUCUGACAUGGAAGGAAGAGAGAAAAGCAUUUGCAGGGCAAAUUUAUAUUGCUUACAAGAAUUCAUGUCACAGUGGACUUACUUCUGUCU